GACGAACGCUGGCGGCGUGCUUAACACAUGCAAGUCGAACGGAAAGGCCCUGCUUUUGUGGGGUGCUCGAGUGGCGAACGGGUGAGUAACACGUGAGUAACCUGCCCUUGACUUUGGGAUAACUUCAGGAAACUGGGGCUAAUACCGGAUAGGAGCUCCUGCUGCAUGGUGGGGGUUGGAAAGUUUCGGCGGUUGGGGAUGGACUCGCGGCUUAUCAGCUUGUUGGUGGGGUAGUGGCUUACCAAGGCUUUGACGGGUAGCCGGCCUGAGAGGGUGACCGGCCACAUUGGGACUGGAAUACGGCCCAGCCUCCUACGGGAGGCAGCAGUGGGGAAUAUUGCACAAUGGGCGGAAGCCUGAUGCAGCAACGCCGCGUGCGGGAUGACGGCCUUCGGGUUGUAAACCGCUUUCGCCUGUGACGAAACGUGAGUGACGGUAAUGGGUAAAGAAGCACCGGCUAACUACGUG
This 468-nucleotide ribosomal RNA is filed under the name uncultured bacterium. RNAcentral describes it as "partial 16S ribosomal RNA". It matches the Rfam family "Bacterial small subunit ribosomal RNA", at positions 28 to 507 of the family's 1533-position model. The record is from RNAcentral.